GAAGGUAUAGCUCAGCAAUAGAGUGCAUACUUCGCAGGCAUGAGGUCCUGAGUUCAAUCCCCAGUACAGCCA
RNAcentral lists this transfer RNA (72 nucleotides) under Camelus ferus (Wild Bactrian camel). It matches the Rfam family "tRNA". From Rfam's summary of the family: Transfer RNA (tRNA) molecules are approximately 80 nucleotides in length. Their secondary structure includes four short double-helical elements and three loops (D, anti-codon, and T loops). Lineage: Eukaryota; Metazoa; Chordata; Mammalia; Artiodactyla; Camelidae. The record is from Rfam by way of RNAcentral.